GGCCGGGCUUCCAGCCCGCGAGUCCUGGCGCUCGAGCCGUCGGCGGCCGGGGCCGCGCGGGGCGGGGAGGAGGUGGGUGGGGACCCUCCGGAAGCUCCGCACCCCGUCUGCACGUCGCGCAGCCGCCUGGGGCCCUCGGAGGGCUUCCGCCCGGCCGCGCUGCGGGCCUCCCUCUCUUCGGAGUCCGGAGGCGCCCUGGUCACAUCCGCGGGCGGCGGGGGGCACCGCGGGAAGCCGAAACUUCUCAGAUCCGCGCUAGAACCGAGGCCACUCCGUGUUGCGCCCCCGCGCCAGCUCGGAACAGGCGCCCCUUCUGCGUAGUCGCACGGAGGCUCCGAGAAACACGGGCCAAGUGAAUACCGGUGCCCUUGUGGACGCGGGAGUGCGGGCGUGAGCACGCGUAGGUGACGCUCGGGCUACAGCGGGGCUCGUGGGCAGCUGUGCCCGCGCAGGGGCACAGUGCUCUGGCAGCCCGUGUAGGGAUUGUUUCCCCCGGCUGCUGACAGGAAGAGCCGGAGUUUGCCCACGAGGCCCUGAGUCCGGGCGAGGGACCACCCCUAGGUAAAGCCUCAGAAGACAACCUGGAGCUGCUUCACAGUCAGGAAUAAGCACGUACAACCAGCUCUGAUGCCGCCCCUCCCCGGACACCCAGACCUUCCACUCAAAGGGAGAUGCGUGAUGGGAAUGAGUGAUGACAGCAGGACUUCAGAUGAAGGGAAGCGCUUUGGGGUCCCCAGACUCUGCCCCCCUGGGAGAUGGGGGGAGCUACAGAAGCAUAUAUGGAGCCAAGUCUAAAAGUCA
Long non-coding RNA from Phacochoerus africanus (Common warthog), 801 nucleotides. RefSeq lists it as uncharacterized. The record is from RefSeq and is a predicted model, not a curated record. The transcript is spliced from 2 exons. NCBI's taxonomy places the organism in Eukaryota, Metazoa, Chordata, Mammalia, Artiodactyla, Suidae.